This 254-nucleotide unclassified non-coding RNA is filed under the name plant metagenome. Its description in RNAcentral is "partial contains small subunit ribosomal RNA and internal transcribed spacer 1". The stretch from base 1 to 46 matches the Rfam family "Eukaryotic small subunit ribosomal RNA", at positions 1786 to 1831 of the family's 1831-position model. The record is from RNAcentral.
AAGUCGUAACAAGGUUUCCGUAGGUGAGCCUGCGGAAGGAUCAUUAAUGAGAAGCGGCCUCGCGGCCGUGGGGGCUUCGGUCCCCGACUCACACCCUCUGUUUACAUACGUUUGUCGCUUUGGCGGGCCUUGGGGUCAUACCCAUGCGUCUCAAGGGCCGCUCCGGUGACGGACAGCCUGGCGCGUGCGCCCGUCAAAGGCCCUAUCAAUUCUGUUUAUCAGUGUCGUCCGAGUAAAAACCAAAUAAAUUAAAA